GGGGAAUCGCUUGAACCGGGAGGCGGAGAGGUUGCAGUGAGCUGAGAUCACGCCACUGUACUCCAUCCUGGGUGACAGAGUGAGGAUCCAUCUCAAAAAAAUAAAAAUAAAAUAAAUCUUUCUGGCUGCUCCUCCUUGGGCUAGAUAAUUCUUAUAGAUAGCAAGGGUUCAGCUGGAAGAUUUCUUUGAUAUACAAACUAACCAAUUCAGAGCUAUAUUCCCUCUAUCUGGCAUGGACACCCCAAGAGACAACAUUCCAGUGUCCUAAUCACCCCAUGGCCAGGUACCAGACAACUAGGGAGCACCCCUAUACCUUAUCCUUAGGCCUUUAGAUUAUCAAAACAUAAUCUAAAUUGUUGGGCAAGUACCCAAGAACAACUCCAGAGUUGAUGAAAUCAUGGACUAGAGAAUGUUAAAUACAGUCAGUUUUCAAUAUCCAGUUUAUUAUGUUAUACUAGAUUUUGGAGCUUUUUGCC
Molecule: long non-coding RNA, 476 nt
Filed under: Homo sapiens (human)
Lineage: Eukaryota; Metazoa; Chordata; Mammalia; Primates; Hominidae
Description: HSALNT0284753
Source: RNAcentral